This 628-nucleotide long non-coding RNA is filed under the name Ananas comosus (pineapple). RNAcentral describes it as "long non-coding RNA (ACOM_LNC009414)". The record is from RNAcentral. Lineage: Eukaryota; Viridiplantae; Streptophyta; Magnoliopsida; Poales; Bromeliaceae.
AACUUCAAAUUGCCUUUCGCCACUCUGUUGUUUAAAAAGUUGCACUUUAUCCCUCUGCGGCUUAAUUUUAUUUCACCACAAAGUUUCAUAUCAAAUAAGAUAUAACAUUCAGGAUUCACAAUAAUCUUAUAUUUGAGAUAUAAUAUGACUAAAUUUUUUAACCCAAAUAUAGCAUUUUAGGUUGGUGGCUAUACUUUUACCGUUUGGUUCGGGUAUAAGCAAGAACUAGCUAUUACAGGAAUAGGUACAAAUAUGGGGAUAAGAAAAAUAGUGUUUGGAUAAAAAUUGAGUUGUUCCUGGAGAUAAGAACAAUUUUAAGUAGUUUUAUAUAGAAAAUGAAGGUGUUGGUGGGAAUAGCCAAGAACUAUUAUUCUCGGAUAAAAAAUUAGCGUUUGGGUAUAAAGGGGGGAUAAGGGCCUAUUCCUUUUCCUAUUCCCUAACCAAACGCUCCAACAGGUUAAUAGAAUUAAAGCAUCUAGUUAGAGUAGUUCUAGGAUGAACGACCCCCUGCAAUAGCAGUGCCACAUAGGAUGGCAAAACAAAAUAUUUAAGAAAAUCCUAGGACGACAAAGUGAAAAAUACGCUAAACCAUAAUGUUGUUGAGUGUAAUUUUUUAAACCGCAACAAG